GGCGGCGAAUCAGGCCCUAAGAAGAGAUGACGCAGACGAAUCAGUACGGGAAACAUCAGCGCGACUCUUUUAUCUUUGAGGCCUCCACUUUAGUGACUUCUGGGAUGAAGUUCUAAGGCAGAUAUGAAAAGAGUUUAUCAAGACAUGAAAGAAUAUUAAAUGGAGGGAAAGCUACUAAGACGAGAAGCAGCGUGGCUCAGUGGCAAGAGCCCGGGCUUGGGAGUCAGAGGUCAUGGGUUCGACUCCCGACUCUGCCCCUUGUCAGCUGUGUGACUGUGGGCGAGUCACUUCACUUCUCUGGGCCUCAGUUCCCUCAUCUGGACAACGGGGAUGAAGACUGGGAGCCUCAAGUGGGACAACCUGAUUGCCCUUCUCUGUUUCUUAAUUACCACAUCCGCAAAAUGGGGAUUUAACACGGAGAGCCCCAUGGGACCGAUUAUUAGCCUGUAUCUACUCCAGCACAAGGUCUAGCACAAAGUAAGUACUCUACGAAUGCCACCGAAAGAAAUAAAAAUCAUUCUUUUCUAACCUUCAGCAGUAGCAACUAUUCUUCCCCGCCUUCCCAGCCCCGCAGCACUUACGUACAUAUCUGUAAUUUACUUCUUUGUACCGAUGUCUGUCUCCCCCAUCUAUUCAUUCGACAGUAUUUACUGAGCGCUCACUAUGUGCAGAGCACUGUACUAAGCGCUUGGAAUGGACACAUCGGUAACAGACAGUCCCCGCCCUAGCCCGUAAGCUCGCUGUGGGCAGGGAAUGUGUCUGCUUAUUGUUGUAAUGUACUUUCCCAAGCGCUUAGUACAGUGCUCUGCACAUUGUAAGCGCUCAAUAAAUAGGACUGAAUGAAUAGAUGAACUAUUCUCCACAUUUCUAAAACCAACACGGGAGUACGCAGAUAACUUAAAGCAAGGUAGCGGAAACAAUGGUUUGAUGGAAUAGGUGAAAUCUGGUUUGUCAGAUGUUAUGAAAAAGGUCUUCAUUUUACUUGUGCAACAGUAUUUAUUGAGCGCUUACUAUGUGCAGAGCACUGUACUAACCGCUUGGGACGUACAAUUCGGCAACAGAUAGAGACGAUCCCUGCCCACUGACGGGCUUUCGGGACAUCCUUGAGACUGCGAACUCGUCGUGAGCGGGAAACGCGCCUGCCAACUCCGUCGUACUGCACUCUCCGGAGCGCAUAGUAGGUGUUAAAUAAACACCACCGAUGAUGACAACAAGACGCCGGAGGGUAGAGGAAACAAAACCGAGCCAUUAUAUAAACCGUAGGCAUGUCUGCACUUGGAAUUUAGUUUGCGGUUUGGGAGCCCCAUUUUAGAAACGACAACAGAGGCGGAGAACGUUCAAAGAAAGGGAACGAGAUUAUCCACCCAUCGGUAGCGCUAAGCACUUGGGAAAGUACGACAGAACUAGUAUGCCAGGGCUACUAUCACUCCGUGCCAUAGGAGGAUACGCAGAAAGUGUCACGACUUCGGUCUGGAAAGAUAGAGGCUGCGGAGGAACAUAGCCGGGGAUAAUAAAGUCAUCGAGGGCGAGGAAGAGGCAAAACAGCUCUGUUGCGCGACCAACGGCGAGCUUACGGUCUAAAGGGGGAGACGGACGACAUUAAUAUAAAUAAAUAAAUCACAGAUAUCCGCAUGAGUGCUGCGGGGGAGGGUAAGGAGUUUCUGCUAAGGAGGGGCCGGAGAGCCGAUGCUAAGGAAUUUCUGUUUGAUGUGGAGGUUGAUGGGCAACCCCUAGAGAUUCCCGAGGAGCGGGGAGACAUGGCCUGAACUGCUUUGUAGAAAAAAUAAGCUGGGCAGCAAGGAAAGGAAAAAUCAUUUUCACCCGGUGGGAAAUAAACAAAUGGAUCUUU
RNAcentral lists this long non-coding RNA (1849 nucleotides) under Ornithorhynchus anatinus (platypus). Its description in RNAcentral is "lncRNA (ENSOANG00000040737.1)". The record is from RNAcentral. Lineage: Eukaryota; Metazoa; Chordata; Mammalia; Monotremata; Ornithorhynchidae.